Molecule: ribosomal RNA, 510 nt
Filed under: Hydromya dorsalis
Lineage: Eukaryota; Metazoa; Arthropoda; Insecta; Diptera; Sciomyzidae
Description: partial 16S ribosomal RNA
Rfam family: Bacterial large subunit ribosomal RNA
Source: RNAcentral
GUCUUUUUGCAUUUAAAUAUAAAGUCUAACCUGCCCACUGAUUUUUAAAUGGCCGCAGUACACUAACUGUGCAAAGGUAGCAUAAUAAUUAGUCUUUUAAUUGAAGGCUGGAAUGAAUGGUUGGACGAAAUAUUAACUGUUUCAUUAAAAAUUACAAUAGAAUUUUAUUUUUUAGUCAAAAAGCUAAAAUUUAAUUAAAAGACGAGAAGACCCUAUAAAGCUUUAUACAUUUUUGUAAUUUAAUAAAUAAGAUUUUUUAGAUUUAAUUAUAAAUAUGUAUUUUAUUGGGGUGAUAUUAAAAUUUAAAGAACUUUUAAUUUUUUAAACCAUUAAUUUAUGAAUAAAUGAUCCGUAUAUAACGAUUAAAAAUUUAAGUUACUUUAGGGAUAACAGCGUAAUUUUUUUGGAGAGUUCAUAUCGAUAAAAAAGAUUGCGACCUCGAUGUUGGAUUAAGGAAUAAUUUUAGGCGCAGCCGUUUAAAUGAUAAGUCUGUUCGACUUUUAAACCCUU